GUGAGUAAUGUAUGGGGAUCUGCCCGAUAGAGGGGGAUAACUACUGGAAACGGUGGCUAAUACCGCAUAAUGUCUACGGACCAAAGCAGGGGCUCUUCGGACCUUGCACUAUCGGAUGAACCCAUAUGGGAUUAGCUAGUAGGUGGGGUAAAGGCUCACCUAGGCGACGAUCUCUAGCUGGUCUGAGAGGAUGAUCAGCCACACUGGGACUGAGACACGGCCCAGACUCCUACGGGAGGCAGCAGUGGGGAAUAUUGCACAAUGGGCGCAAGCCUGAUGCAGCCAUGCCGCGUGUAUGAAGAAGGCCUUAGGGUUGUAAAGUACUUUCAGCGGGGAGGAA
Molecule: ribosomal RNA, 340 nt
Filed under: Proteus mirabilis
Lineage: Bacteria; Pseudomonadati; Pseudomonadota; Gammaproteobacteria; Enterobacterales; Morganellaceae
Description: bacterial SSU rRNA
Rfam family: Bacterial small subunit ribosomal RNA
Source: RNAcentral